RNAcentral lists this ribosomal RNA (382 nucleotides) under uncultured eukaryote. RNAcentral describes it as "partial 18S ribosomal RNA". It matches the Rfam family "Eukaryotic small subunit ribosomal RNA", at positions 592 to 976 of the family's 1831-position model. The record is from RNAcentral.
UGUAAGCGUAUACCAAAGUUGUUGCAGUUAAAACGCUCGUAGUCGGAAUUUGGUAGUUCCGGAUGUGUGAACGUCGUGUGCGCACUUCGCGGGGAUUGCUUUUGUGGUCUUGCGUAGGAUGAGGCACUUUUAUUAGUGAACGUCCUCACGCAACCACUUUUUACUGUGAGAAAAUCAGAGUGCUCAAAGCAGGCAUUUGCCGUGAAUGUAUUAGCAUGGAAUAAUAGAAUAGGACUUGGUUCUAUUUUGUUGGUUUGUUGGGACUGAGUAAUGAUUAAGAGGGACAGUUGGGGGCAUUUGUAUUUCGGUGCUAGAGGUGAAAUUCUUAGAUUACCGAAAGACAAACUGCUGCGAAAGCGUCUGCCAAGGAUGUUUUCAUUGA